GUUAUAGGGUCAAGCGAACAAGUGCAUGUGGUGGAUGCCUUGGCGAUUACAGGCGAUGAAGGACGCGGUAGCCUGCGAAAAGCUUCGGGGAGCUGGCAAACGAGCUUUGAUCCGGAGAUGUCCGAAUGGGGAAACCCGGCCCGAAUGGGUCAUCCCUGACUGAAUACAUAGGUCAGGGAAGCGAACGCGGCGAACUGAAACAUCUAAGUAGCUGCAGGAACAGAAAUCAACCGAGAUUCCCAAAGUAGUGGCGAACGAAAUGGGAAGAGCCUUGUACUCUUUAGCAGCAUUGUUAGCAGAACGGGAUGGAAAGCCCGGCCAUAG
Molecule: ribosomal RNA, 324 nt
Filed under: Microbispora sp. KK1-11
Lineage: Bacteria; Bacillati; Actinomycetota; Actinomycetes; Streptosporangiales; Streptosporangiaceae
Description: partial 23S ribosomal RNA
Rfam family: Bacterial large subunit ribosomal RNA
Source: RNAcentral